CGGGAUGCGUCUCAUAUGUGCGCCAAAGAAGAACAUCACAUAUAAUGACAAAGUGUAUAGAGAUAAAUGUCACAAGUAUCAUUAUUACAUAGCGAAAGCCUUACAAAAAUAAAUGAUAACAAUAAAGCAAACUAAAUAUUAUUCCUUGGUGCCAUAAAGUUGACUGGGAGACGCCACUUAGAUGAGCUCGUACUCUUUAUUGUGGGGCUCCUCCUGGACCACCUGUUCUUCUCCUGUGGGGGGUUAUAUAUCACAAGGGUGAGCUCACAAAAUCAUAGCUCCACAAGUCAUGUUACCCAUCUGCCCCGGGGUUGCACGAACCCCGUUCACCUCUACCAAGGAAGCGAGGUAGGGUAACACUACGAGGCCUUUACAAAGUUCCACUAGCUUCAGAAAACCCGCUACAAUUUCUAGGGAGCGCAAUGCAGGAAUCCCCUGUCUGACCGCCAUCGCAGCAAAAUCAACCCAAGAACCUCCCUACACGCCAACUCCCCUACUGCCCUUGCCCAUUUCGGGUAAGGUAGACCUCCACUAGCUUUUCUAAUUAGUCAUCCAAGGGCGUCCCAUUCCACCCUUGUGGUGGCACGUGUUUCUCAAGUUAAGCUCCAUGUUCCAAUUAACAUAAUAGUCUUAUCAUGAAUAGAAAUAAAACAAUAAUAAUAAAAAAUGACCAUGUGUAAUAGUUAUCUCAACACCCAAAACCAUAUAUAGCAAUAACAAAGACCACCCAAAAGUUCAGGGAUAAACAAGGUGUAAAGAUGACCAAACUAGGGUGACCUAUUGGGUCCCAUCAAAAUUAAGCCUAUGCAUGCCAAAAUGAUUAUAGAGAACAUUAUUGGAUAAAUAAAAGUGGUCAAGGGCACAACUUGCCUUCAAUGAGCUCCUGCUCAACAACUUCUACCUGCUGAACACCUGAGUCCUUAAUCACUUGCUCAUCUACUCGCCACAAUACAAACAAACAUGGUACAAAGGAAAUUAAUCAUCACACCAAACAGAGGAAUAUACUACAUGAUAAUAUUCUACACAUCGCAAUGAGAUCGUAUGAACAAGAAUCACUAAAUUCAGAGUUACUGUUUCCGAGUUAUGAUUUUCUGAAGUUAUUAAGUGAUUGAUAUAAAUUAAACCAAAUGAAUAUUUUUUAUCUAUGUUUCAUGACAAAACAUAGUUACUAAGUGAUAAACAAUAUUCAUACAAAAUUAAUGCAACUAGAAUGGAUUUAAAAAGAGUUAAAAUGAAUUUUCUAGGAAUUAAACAAGAUUCUGAAAUUAUUUUUACACUAAAAUUCAUUUUCUAUAUGAUUUCCUCUGAUUUUCUAUCUCUCUGUACUGCACGCACAAAUAUACCUAAGACCAGAGGCUAUUACGUAAGUUCUCAGGACACAGAUUAAAACACUUUCUAUAUACGGUGUACUGCGGGUUGAUAAGCAAGAACUGCAGGGUCUCUUAUAUAAAACUAGUAACGGGUGCGCGCCCCGCGCGCGUUGUAGAAAAAUGUAAUGUAAGUGAUAAUAAUGUUAUAUCAUUUGUAAAAUGUAGAUAUACAUUCUGAAAUAUAAGUGACAAUUAAGAAAGUUGGUCAUGUAUAUCACAGAAGGUUGAACAGUAGUUAUUAAACAGAGUUAGGUAAUUUAUGACGGUGGUUAUUUUUGCCUGUUUCAACAUCUAAAACAAAGUUGUUAUGUUUACACAAAUUGUCUUCAAAAGGUUGAACAUGCAUACUAACAUAUAAAAUAAACACUUUAGAACUUCAAAGGCUGCUGAUGGUAGAAGGUAGCAUUCAGUCUUGGGAGGGUUUCUUAGGAGUUUCUUUUUGGAUGCGCACGGGUCCUUGCUUGAUCCUGUUCAUGAAUUAUAAAAAAGUGAGUUGUUUUAUUUACUUUACUAAUGGACUGAUUAGCUAGACAACUCGUUUUAGGAAUUUGGUAUUUAAGCACGGGGGUUAUUUAGAUGGUUAGAUGCUAUGGAAAAGUUGUACAUAAAAAGAAUAUGACAUAUGCACAUUAACAGAAACUUGAAUCCUUAGUAAGGAACAAAGAGACGUGCAAAAAAAAUAAUAACAUCAUCAGAAGAACAAAAUGUCUGCUUAAAUAAUAAUAAGCACAACAACAGUGCGAUCUCUUAACUACAUGUAAGAAUGUUUCUUGUUAAGCAUUGAACAUAGCACAGAAUGGAUAUGAAUACAUCACACGAUUUAUAUAAGAAAGUAAAAAGAUCGUGUGUGUGGUGGGGGAUAUCAGGUUGAGUGCUGAUGAAUGGGGAGUGGAAGAUCUUAUUUUUGUUCAUGCUUUCAUGAUUUGUGUACCUUUCGGGUACGUAGGAUAACAGAUAUUUUUUUUUCUUGUAGCUAUUCUGAGUAUAUUGCUCCCAGGCGAAAGAGAAUAUGCAACAUCCCCCACUUUUAAAACGGUUUGCUGUCAGGUUGGUUUGUGCAUCACAUUUGAAAUCCGUUUCUAUGAUUUGAUACAGAACUAUUGGUGUGUAUAUGUAACUAUUUAUUGAAUUGUUUGGUUUGGUUCUGAGCUAUACUCAGAUGCUUAUAAGAACUUUUAUAUUACAUACAACUUUUGUUUUAAAAAAGAAAGGAGUAGAAUCUGUUGAGCAGUGCAGUUUGUGUAUGUGAUUUCAACUACUUAUCUAUCUUAUGUUUUAGAAAGUGUUAUGUAAAAGAAAUGCUCGAACAAUAUGUUAGUGAAGCAGUCAUAAUAUUUAAACGCAUUUAAUAUGUUACGUAUCUUAUUAAGUAGAUUCUCUGCGUCUAAUUUAGUUAUAUAUCAAUGGGGGAUAAGCCAAGACCUAAAGUUGUGCGAUACAUUGUUUGUUGAUGUGAUGAUAUUUAUUCAUUACUGCGUUCUAGGUGGCAAAGCAGCUGAUGGAUUUGGGAGAUUAGAUGUAUUGAACAAACGUACCUGAUGUGCUCGGAGUUAAAAUCCCUGGGAAUUAGAGAUGUUUUCGCUCCACACGGAGGGCUGACCUGUAGAAUCAAUUAGAAAUUGGGCUAAUAAACGACCGGUAAACUAUGUAAAUAAAUAUGCGAAGGGAAAAAUAUAGUGUGUUAACAGACGACCAGCAAAUCGUGUACAAUUAAGAAGAUGUAGAUCGGAUUCCCUAUAUUCGUUCUUUCAAGUGAGAUUUUUUUUGGGAAAAAAAAGAAUGUGCAUCCAUAGAAUUAUGUACGUAGGGACAACAUGCGAAGUUUCAACUGUAUAAUUAUAAGGUAAAACAUGAACUUAGUUGAUAGUUCUUCUAUGUAUAAUAGAUACAUUUAAGGUUGAGAUACCUUUUUACCAAUAAUUGAUCAUGUAGAUACGGAUAUCAAAGUCCACAUACUCACACAUCCCAACCCCGAAAAGCUAAUCACACCAGAGACGGAGUGGGAGAAUAUACCUUUUCUUUAUAGUGAAAGUGGCAAGCAGCCAAGUUGUAGUACUUUUUGGCUAACCGAGUGUUUUGAAUUCCUGAACGCAUAUCGCACAGUUAAAACACCUUAGGCGCGAAGGACAAACUUACUUGAGCAAACAGGCUUUCAGCAGUAGUAGAGAGGGACUUAAAAACAUUGGUUAUGGGUGUAAACCAAAGGGAAUUAAAAAAAUGCAUGGUUGCACGCGACGCUCGACUGGAACAGUGGCUUUGCGAUGCUGCAGCCUGCAGGCCGUGUGCCAGGUGGCAGGGUGGGGCGCUGCCUGUGAGAUGUUGCCGCCGUGCCAGGAGAGGAAGGGCGGCGCUGCUGCCUCCUGGCGUUGGCCCACGCCGACGUUGAGGUGGGAUGUGGCUCCUGGCGGUGUCCAGCUCAGCGAGAAGAGGGAUUUGAGGGAACAGGGGGAUAAAGCUAGUGGUGCCUGGCGGCUUGCACAUCGACGGAAACUGAGAGCAAGAGGUUUCUGGCCGCGUUCUAUGGAACUCACAGAGAGAGAAGAGACUAUUGGACAACCGGCGAACAGAAAGAAUGGUACCUGCUUGGCCGUGGGCAAACGGGUGGGGUUCAGCGUGUCCGCCGUCGCGGACCGUGGAAGCCGUCGCCCCGGGAGAGAGAGAGAGAGAGGACGGGAGGAAGAUGCGUAUAUCCUCUUCUACCCCUUUCCGGGGCCAUCUGGAAACAUCAUGUCCUG
Molecule: long non-coding RNA, 4105 nt
Filed under: Zea mays
Lineage: Eukaryota; Viridiplantae; Streptophyta; Magnoliopsida; Poales; Poaceae
Description: long non-coding RNA (ZMAY_LNC003913)
Source: RNAcentral